GUGGGGAAUAUUGGACAAUGGGGGCAACCCUGAUCCAGCGACGCCGCGUGAGUGAUGAAGGCCUUCGGGUCGUAAAGCUCUGUUGCAGGGGAAGAACACAAUGACGGUACCCUGCUAGAAAGGAUCGGCUAACUUCGUGCCAGCAGCCGCGGUAAGACGAGGGAUCCUAGCGUUGUUCGGAAUUAUUGGGCGUAAAGCGGGUGCAGGUGGCUUGGUAAGUCAGAUGUGAAAGCCUGGGGCUUAACCCCAGAAGUGCAUUUGAUACUGCUGAGCUUGAGUGCUGGAGAGGCUAUUAGAAUUCCUGGUGUAGUGGUGAAAUACGUAGAUAUCAGGAGGAAUACCGGAGGCGAAGGCGGAUAGCUGGCCAGACACUGACACUCAGACCCGAAAGCGUGGGGAUCAAACAGGAUUAGAUACCCGGGUAGUCC
Molecule: ribosomal RNA, 428 nt
Filed under: uncultured bacterium
Lineage: Bacteria
Description: partial 16S ribosomal RNA
Rfam family: Bacterial small subunit ribosomal RNA
Source: RNAcentral